GCACCGCUGGUGUAGUGGUAUCAUGCAAGAUUCCCGUUCUUGUGACUUGGGUUCGAUUACCGGUCGGUGCA
Eurypyga helias (sunbittern) is the source of this 71-nucleotide transfer RNA. It matches the Rfam family "tRNA". From Rfam's summary of the family: Transfer RNA (tRNA) molecules are approximately 80 nucleotides in length. Their secondary structure includes four short double-helical elements and three loops (D, anti-codon, and T loops). The record is from Rfam. Lineage: Eukaryota; Metazoa; Chordata; Aves; Eurypygiformes; Eurypygidae.